GGGUCCGCACAAGCGGUGGAGCAUGUGGUUUAAUUCGAUGAUACGCGAGGAACCUUACCAGGGCUUAAAUGGGAAAUGACAGGGCAGAGACGCCCCCUUCUUCGGACAUUUUUCAAGGUGCUGCAUGGUUGUCGUCAGCUCGUGCCGUGAGGUGUCAGGUUAAGUCCUAUAACGAGCGCAACCCCUACCGUUAGUUGCCAGCGUGUAAUGACGGGGACUCUAACGGAACUGCCGGUGCAAACCGUGAGGAAGGUGGGGACGACGUCAAAUCAUCACGGCCCUUACGUCCUGGCCACACACGUGCUACAAUGGUAGGUACAGAGGGAAGCCACCCCGCGAGGGGGAGCGGA
RNAcentral lists this ribosomal RNA (350 nucleotides) under uncultured bacterium. RNAcentral's name for it is "bacterial SSU rRNA". It matches the Rfam family "Bacterial small subunit ribosomal RNA", at positions 917 to 1271 of the family's 1533-position model. The record is from RNAcentral.